UUUUUCGUUUUUCUUGUAGUCCCGUUCGAGGAAUUCUGCUGUCUGGCCGUUGUUUUAGAAUUUAAUGAAUUCCCCUCUGUAAGUCGGCAGAAAAGACAUACCGAAGAUGGAGGAUGCCAAAUUCAAAAUUCUUUUAUAGCAGUAAAUACUACCGAAAGACUUCAACAAUUGAGAGAGAAAAUGAAAGAAAAUAAUUAUUCUGCUUAUAUUAUACCUACAGAUGAUGAACACCAGAGUGAAUACGUAGCUGAGUAUGACAAGAGAAGAGCUUAUAUAUCAGGAUUUAGCGGAUCAGCAGGUAGAAUAUCGCACUGUAUAGAGUAAAAACCUGUCCGAAACGGAACUUGAAUAAAACGGAAACCUAUUCCUACAAUUCUUAUUUACGCAGGUUUUCCUGCAUUAAUUUUAGGAGGCUGUAUUUAACUAUUGAAUUUUUAAGCAGAAUUAUUAUAGGGUUGCAAUUUUCAAAUUGCAGACCUAUACAUUCUCACUGUCUGUGUUUAUGUCUGUCCUUCGUUAAU
This is a long non-coding RNA of Centruroides sculpturatus (bark scorpion), 521 nucleotides long. RefSeq lists it as uncharacterized. The record is from RefSeq and is a predicted model, not a curated record. NCBI's taxonomy places the organism in Eukaryota, Metazoa, Arthropoda, Arachnida, Scorpiones, Buthidae. The transcript has 3 exons.